This is a long non-coding RNA of Passer montanus (Eurasian tree sparrow), 1237 nucleotides long. RefSeq lists it as uncharacterized. The record is from RefSeq and is a predicted model, not a curated record. The transcript has 6 exons. NCBI's taxonomy places the organism in Eukaryota, Metazoa, Chordata, Aves, Passeriformes, Passeridae.
CCAGUGCCUGAACCAGCUGCUUUGAAGAAUCUUGGGACUGAAGGACUGAGCUGAGGCAUUUCUAAGGCAGCUGACGAGAAGAGGGAAAGAGCAGAUCAUGGCACCAAAUCCUGCCCCGGAGCUGCGCAGGGCUCAAGGAGUGGCCCCGUGUGGAGAAGCAGAUGGAGCUCUGCAAACUAUCAGCAUGCUGGAUUUUAUGGAGCAUUUCUGGAGCUGAGGGACAACUGUCAGGGAAUUUCCAGCGUGCAGGUGGUAAAACACUGACUGCCAUGAACUUCAUCAGGGAAAAAAAAAAUAAAUAAAGAGGAAAAAGCUGUGGUUUGGAAGCAGCUGGAUGGCAAACUGCAGGCUGGGAAUGUGGCUGCCAAAACCACCACAAGGAGAGUGGGGCACAGAGGCAUUUGUGGAGCAUUCUGUUUGCUAAUUGCUCAUGGAAUUUCAGGUUGAAAGAGAAGAAGGGAAUCUACCAGGUGGCUGCAUCUUGAAAAACAGGCCCUGUCUUCCUGUCCCAUUUUGCAGCAGUCCUGUGUGUGGGAGAAGUACAACUGUGGGACGCCUGACGAAAAGAGGUGGUUGAACAACUGCCCUUCAGCUCUGUCACCUUUUUUCAGUGCUUGCAAAAAACAACAACAACAACAAAACCACAAAAAACCAACCACACACACAAAAAAAGGACCAAAAAAUUCGAGCCAAAGAUAGUUUAUGUACAGCUCAGGAAGCUCUCAGCAAUGAGUGUGUCUGUGAUUUAAUAACACAUCUCCCCAGAAUGAUACUUCUUCUACUACUCACUGUGAAAAAGAAGGCAGAGCAGCACACAAGGCACUGCUAUUGCAGCAACAAGCAGCCAAACUACCAGGUAUUUAUUUUUCAAUGUACACAAUUACUGGGGAGAAUAAAAAUUAUUCUUUGACGCUCUGACAGAACCGUAAAAAACCCUGUGCUUCCCCUACUCCCACAGUCCUGACAAGAAACACCUCACAAAUUCUAAUAAAUAGAGAAUAGAAAUAAAUACUUUAACUACACAGCAUCGGGUUUCAAAUGGCUUCCUGAAUCAGAAAGUGCUGCUAGUCCAUCUUCCUUAUUUCCACACUCUGUAAUGGUGGCUCUCCAAAAGUCAAAGUGAGAUGGAUACUGCAAGAAUCACAGACACUACACUGGGAAACCAAGUAUCAGUGGGUACAUCCAGAUUUAUGGUAGGUGAUGGCAGUAAAGUGAAAGUAAAACUGUUUGCACAGGC